GUCAAUCAUAAAUCGGGAUCCUAUAGGAUGUUUGAAAAACAGUCUGGAACAUUAGUCGUUAAAGCCCUGCACUGCCAUGAAUUUUAAGCCCGUGACGUUCAGGCCCUACCCUACCCAGGCUUGAUUGCUUCUGCCAAAUUUAAGGCCCUGACAAAUUUAAAGCCCUGACAAAUUUAAAGCCCUGACAAAUUUAAAGCCCCGCCCUAAACCCGAAAUCAGAAAUAACUUCCUCCAUUAGCUGCUGUUCUCUGUCUGUCGCAGAAGGCUCGCUCUGCAUGCACUCGGCUGAUGGCUGCUCUGUCUGUGGCAGAAGGCUCGCUCUGCAUGCACUCGGCUGAUGGCUGCUCUGUCUGUGGCAGAAGGCUCGCUCUGCAUGCACUCGGCUGAUGGCUGCUCUGUCUGUGGCAGGUGGCUCGCUCUGCAUGCACUCGGCUGAUGGCUGCUCUGUCUGUGGC
RNAcentral lists this long non-coding RNA (455 nucleotides) under Salmo salar (Atlantic salmon). Its description in RNAcentral is "lncRNA (ENSSSAG00000103518.1)". Lineage: Eukaryota; Metazoa; Chordata; Actinopteri; Salmoniformes; Salmonidae. The record is from RNAcentral.